Long non-coding RNA from Dioscorea cayenensis subsp. rotundata (Guinea yam), 820 nucleotides. RefSeq lists it as uncharacterized. The transcript is spliced from 3 exons. Lineage: Eukaryota; Viridiplantae; Streptophyta; Magnoliopsida; Dioscoreales; Dioscoreaceae. The record is from RefSeq and is a predicted model, not a curated record.
UCAAAGAAAAUUACACUUCUUCCUCACCGCCCUCACUGCCCUCCUCCCCAUCUCUUCCACCAUCUCUGUCCUUCCCUCCCUCUCCACCACCUCCUCCACCCCACAUCCCUCGCCAACCCUCUAAACCUCCAUCCACUCCAUCAUCAAGUAUAUAUAAACACCUCCCCCUUCUCCUCAUCUUUCUCAUCGAGAAACCAUCAAAGUCUCUAUGAAACCCUAGAAUGCUCUUUGCAUUCAUUCUUUGUCGUGAAUGGCUAACAUGCAAAUGGCCGUGGUCUAGACCAUCGAGUUCCAAGCCGAGAUCAACCAGCUCCUCAGCCUCAUCAUCAACACAUUCUACUCCAACAAGGAGAUCUUCUUGCGAGAGCUCAUUAGCAAUUCAUCGGAUGCUUUGGACAAUAUUCGGUAUGAGAGUUUGACAAAUAAGAGCAUUCUUGAUGCGCAUCUGGAGUUGUUCAUCAGGCUUGUGCCGGAUAAGGUUAACAAGACGCUGUCCAUCAUCGAUAGUGGCAUUGGCAUGACUAAGGCUGGAACAAAAGAUUGCUGAAGUUGGUAAUUCAAUUUGGCUGAAAGCUUGUUAUGUGCUGACAAAAUUAGAUGCCAUGGUUACUGCUUUUAGGAGAUGCAUAAUAAAACAUGCAGACAGUCAAAUCCAUUGGUUUGUUAUAAAAGCAUCUCUGUUAUAUUUGAAUUUUUUAAUCUUCGGGUUGUGCAUUGACAUUACAUAAAGUUGUUUACUACCGACAUGCUAAGAAUGUUUGUGCAUUGUGUAUUGAUGUAAAAUAUUGAAUAAUCUUUGAUGUUGAUUCUUUUGCAAGUU